This is a non-coding RNA of Myotis lucifugus (little brown bat), 75 nucleotides long. NCBI's taxonomy places the organism in Eukaryota, Metazoa, Chordata, Mammalia, Chiroptera, Vespertilionidae. The record is from Rfam.
GGCAGUUCUCAGGUGACACACCCCAGAGUCGGGCUCCCUCCUCUCUGGUUCCAGGUGUAUCACCCAAGAACUGCA